UUUUUUAUUUCCCAUCUUAUGGCUAAGGCCACAUAAACUUGUUCUGCUUCAUUGUUUUGGAAGCUUAAGUGGAAUAGCCUGUUUAGCAUUGAUAAGAGGCCCUCAAGAAUAUUUUUUAAGCCUUCUUCACUAUGAAAAACUCCCAUUUUCCGCUCUAUACUUAGGAACAAUGUUUGGUGCACUUUACUUUGCUCUUCACAAGAAAAUUUUUUUGGCCCUGGUGUGCACGGGUUUCCAGAUAAGCAGUUUAAUAUAUUUUCUGGUAGCUUACAUACCUGGAGGAAUUAAGGGUCUUUGGCAAAUGUUUCGCUUGUUAUUGAAAUCUUCUUCUUCAAUAGGGCAAACCAUCCUAAAUAUUUAACACAACUCGGAUCCUUUAGUUAAAAGAUGCUU
Long non-coding RNA from Zophobas morio, 393 nucleotides. RefSeq lists it as uncharacterized. The transcript is spliced from 5 exons. NCBI's taxonomy places the organism in Eukaryota, Metazoa, Arthropoda, Insecta, Coleoptera, Tenebrionidae. The record is from RefSeq and is a predicted model, not a curated record.